AGCAGCCGCGGUAAUUCCAGCUCCAAUAGCGUAUAUUAAAGUUGUUGCAGUUAAAAAGCUCGUAGUUGAACUUCAGACCUGGCUGGGCGGUCCGCUUAACGGCGUGUACUGUCUGGCUGGGUCUUACCUCUUGGUGAGCCGGCGUGCCCUUUAUUGGUGUGCGUCGGGGAACCAGGACUUUUAACCUUGAGAAAAUUUAGAGUGUUUAAAGCAGGCAUACGCUUGAAUACAUUAGCAUGGAAUAAUGAAAUAGGACGUUCGAUUCUAUUUUGUUGGUUUCUAGGAUCGACGUAAUGAUUAAUAGGGAUAGUUGGGGGCAUUAGUAUUCAAUUGUCAGAGGUGAAAUUCUUGGAUUUAUUGAAGACUAACUACUGCGAAAGCAUUUGCCAAGGAUGUUUUCAUUAAUCAAGAACAAAGUUAGGGAUCGAAGACGAUCAGAUACCGUACGUAGUCUUAACCAUAAACCUAUAGCCGACUAGGGAUCGGAUGAUGUUAAUUUUUANGUACUCAAGUUCGGACG
RNAcentral lists this ribosomal RNA (520 nucleotides) under uncultured Paraglomus. RNAcentral's name for it is "bacterial SSU rRNA". It matches the Rfam family "Eukaryotic small subunit ribosomal RNA", at positions 569 to 1086 of the family's 1831-position model. The record is from RNAcentral. Lineage: Eukaryota; Fungi; Glomeromycota; Glomeromycetes; Paraglomerales; Paraglomeraceae.